Molecule: ribosomal RNA, 798 nt
Filed under: uncultured bacterium
Lineage: Bacteria
Description: bacterial SSU rRNA
Rfam family: Bacterial small subunit ribosomal RNA
Source: RNAcentral
AGAGUUUGAUCAUGGCUCAGAACGAACGCUGGCGGCGUGCUUAACACAUGCAAGUCGAACGCGAAAGUUUUCUUCGGAAGAUGAGUAGAGUGGCGCACGGGUGAGUAACGCGUAAGUAAUCUACCCUGGUAUCUGGGAUAACCCACCGAAAGGUGUGCUAAUACCGGAUACGCUGGAGACAGGAAAGGUGGCCUCUUCAUGAAAGCUACUGUACCAGGAGGAGCUUGCGUACCAUUAGCUAGUUGGUAGGGUAAAGGCCUACCAAGGCGACGAUGGUUAGCGGGUCUGAGAGGAUGAUCCGCCACACUGGAACUGGAACACGGACCAGACUCCUACGGGAGGCAGCAGUGAGGAAUAUUGCGCAAUGGGGGAAACCCUGACGCAGCGACGCCGCGUGGAUGAUGAAGGCCUUCGGGUCGUAAAAUCCUGUCAGAUGGAAAGAAGUGUACGGUGGUUAAUAUCCAUUGUAUUUGACGGUACCAUCAAAGGAAGCACCGGCUAACUCCGUGCCAGCAGCCGCGGUAAUACGGAGGGUGCAAGCGUUGUUCGGAAUUACUGGGCGUAAAGCGCGCGUAGGCGGCUAUUUAAGUCAGAUGUGAAAGUCCACGGCUCAACCGUGGAAGUGCAUUUGAAACUGGGUGGCUUGAGUACUGGAGGGGGUGGUGGAAUUCCCGGUGUAGAGGUGAAAUUCGUAGAUAUCGGGAGGAAUACCGGUGGCGAAGGCGACCACCUGGCCAGAUACUGACGCUGAGGUGCGAAAGCGUGGGGAGCAAACAGGAUUAGAUACCCUAGUAGUCC